GGUUCUGUAGUGUAGUGGUAAUCACAUUUACCUAACAUGCAGAAGGUCCUGGGUUUGAUCCCCAGUAAAACCA
Protopterus annectens (West African lungfish) is the source of this 73-nucleotide non-coding RNA. The record is from the annotation of a RefSeq genome assembly. Lineage: Eukaryota; Metazoa; Chordata; Ceratodontiformes; Protopteridae.